Molecule: ribosomal RNA, 304 nt
Filed under: uncultured bacterium
Lineage: Bacteria
Description: partial 16S ribosomal RNA
Rfam family: Bacterial small subunit ribosomal RNA
Source: RNAcentral
CAGCAGCAGCCGCGGGAAUACGAAGGGUGCAAGCGUUAAUCGGAAUUACUGGGCGUAAAGCGUGCGUAGGCGGUUUGUUAAGUCUGCUGUGAAAUCCCCGGGCUCAACCUGGGAAUGGCAGUGGAUACUGGCAAGCUAGAGUGUGUCAGAGGAUGGUGGAAUUCCCGGUGUAGCGGUGAAAUGCGUAGAGAUCGGGAGGAACAUCAGUGGCGAAGGCGGCCAUCUGGGACAACACUGACGCUGAGGCACGAAAGCGUGGGGAGCAAACAGGAUUAGAUACCCGAGUAGUCCCUGUCUCUUAUAC